Molecule: non-coding RNA, 27 nt
Filed under: Homo sapiens (human)
Lineage: Eukaryota; Metazoa; Chordata; Mammalia; Primates; Hominidae
Source: RNAcentral
GAUCACUUGAGUCUAAGAGGUUGAGGU